RNAcentral lists this ribosomal RNA (439 nucleotides) under uncultured bacterium. RNAcentral describes it as "partial 16S ribosomal RNA". It matches the Rfam family "Bacterial small subunit ribosomal RNA", at positions 339 to 795 of the family's 1533-position model. The record is from RNAcentral.
CUACGGGAGGCAGCAGUGAGGAAUAUUGCAUAAUGGGGGGAACCCUGAUGCAGCAACGCCGCGUGGAGGAUGACGCAUUUCGGUGUGUAAACUCCUUUUAUAUGUCAAGAAAAUGACGGUAGCAUAUGAAUAAGCACCGGCUAACUCCGUGCCAGCAGCCGCGGUAAUACGGAGGGUGCAAGCGUUACUCGGAAUCACUGGGCGUAAAGGACGCGUAGGCGGGUUGGAAAGUCAGGUGUGAAAUCCUACAGCUUAACUGUAGAACUGCACUUGAAACUUCUAAUCUAGAGUAUGGGAGGGGGGGAUGGAAUUAGUGGUGUACGGGUAAAAUCCGUAGAUAUCACUAGGAAUACCUAAAGCGAAGGCGAUCUCCUGGAACAUUACUGACGCUAAGGCGUGAAAGCGUGGGGAGCAAACAGGAUUAGAUACCCCCGUAGUC